GGGAAAAUACGCGACGGGACAACGCGCGCGUAGGUGAACGUAUAUGUACACACGCGCGCGCGCACACACUGCAGUGCAUUGCGACCGAACUUCGCUCGGAAACGCGUUUUUCGCGGGCGACCCCGCGGGAUCCCGUCACCACGUUGUUGGACUUGUUCGCGCGCGAAAGUUCGAGCCAGCGGCGCGCCCGUCUAGCUCUGGGCAUCGGACCGAUAUUUUUCGUUCGGCGUUUUUUCGGCACUGCGGCCGUCGUGUGCACCCCGUAACGCGUUUACCGUAAUGAUAUCAUAAAGUGAAACAAAAAUUAUUAAAACGCUCAACACUCGUAAACAAAUAAUGCAAAUUACGUUAACGAAUCGGUCAACAUUUACAGUUUGAAUCGCGUUUUACAUGUUCACUGUGAUACACCCGAUGACGGGAUGUUUAAUUCGAAACCAGGUCGCGUAAAUACACUAAUCAUAGUACUCCGGGCGACGCUAUCGGUUGAUUCGUUUGUUUUCUUUUUAUGUGUGCAUUUUUUUUCGUUUGUAUAUCUAUUUACAUUAUGUAUUUAUUGUAUUGUAAAAUAUGACGUACGAUUAAUUACGGGUGAUAUUCAACACUGAGGAUUAUACUAUGGUAACACUCGCGGGGAAAAGUAUUUUUCAAAUUCGAUUGUAAAAAAAAAAAAAAAAAAAAAAACAUUAUUUUUAAUUGAUUGUCAGCGAAUCGACCGCUUGUUACGUAUAUUUAAUAUGACGUCAUGUCAUAAUAUACAUAUAUACGUAUAUACAUGUCCGCGAUACCCGCGAGUAUAAAACACACCGGUUUUCCGUGUACCCGUAUAUCCAUCCCGUACCCGUGUACCGUAAAAAAUGCGAAAUUUUAUCAAUUUAUAUUUGUUCCGG
Non-coding RNA from Cinara cedri, 887 nucleotides. The record is from the annotation of a GenBank genome assembly. Lineage: Eukaryota; Metazoa; Arthropoda; Insecta; Hemiptera; Aphididae.